GGUACUUGUACCUGGUGGCGAGCGGCGGACGGGUGAGUAAUGCCUAGGAAUCUGCCUGGUAGUGGGGGAUAACGCUCGGAAACGGACGCUAAUACCGCAUACGUCCUACGGGAGAAAGCAGGGGACCUUCGGGCCUUGCGCUAUCAGAUGAGCCUAGGUCGGAUUAGCUAGUUGGUGAGGUAAUGGCUCACCAAGGCGACGAUCCGUAACUGGUCUGAGAGGAUGAUCAGUCACACUGGAACUGAGACACGGUCCAGACUCCUACGGGAGGCAGCAGUGGGGAAUAUUGGACAAUGGGCGAAAGCCUGAUCCAGCCAUGCCGCGUGUGUGAAGAAGGUCUUCGGAUUGUAAAGCACUUUAAGUUGGGAGGAAGGGCAGUUACCUAAUACGUGAUUGUUUUGACGUUACCGACAGAAUAAGCACCGGCUAACUCUGUGCCAGCAGCCGCGGUAAUACAGAGGGUGCAAGCGUUAAUCGGAAUUACUGGGCGUAAAGCGCGCGUAGGUGGUUUGUUAAGUUGAAUGUGAAAUCCCCGGGCUCAACCUGGGAACUGCAUCCAAAACUGGCAAGCUAGAGUAU
RNAcentral lists this ribosomal RNA (579 nucleotides) under Pseudomonas sp. Air104. RNAcentral describes it as "bacterial SSU rRNA". It matches the Rfam family "Bacterial small subunit ribosomal RNA", at positions 75 to 649 of the family's 1533-position model. The record is from RNAcentral. Lineage: Bacteria; Pseudomonadati; Pseudomonadota; Gammaproteobacteria; Pseudomonadales; Pseudomonadaceae.